UCCGAAUGUAUUAAGGGCACAUGGUGGAUGCCUUGGGAGAAGAAGCCGAUGAAGGACGUAGUGAGCUGCGAUAAGCUUCGGGAAGGUGCUGAGCAACCGUCGAUCCGAAGAUCUCCGAAUGGGGAAACCCUGCAAUGUGAAGCAUUGUAAACAUUAAGAGUGCCCUGCCACUCUCUAACUCGCCGCCCAUUAUUAUUGAUUAAUGGUUAGCGGUAUUAAGUAGUUACCGAGUGUGGUUGGUCACUCUUAAUGUUGGGAACCUGGGGAACUGAAACAUCUUAGUACCCAGAGGAAAAGAAAACAAUAAUUGCUGUUUAGCAAUGCAAGUUCGUUUUGCUCGUGCAUUUGAAUUAGCGUUAUUACUAACGGCUAAUUUAUUAGCGGCGAGCAAUCUACGCUAAAGCAUUUGUGCGAAGCGAAGCGAGUUUGUGUGAUUUCGUGAGUAGCGGCGAGCGAAAGCGAACCAGUCUUUCUGUGCGUAGUGGAAAAUUAGAUAGCUAAAUGAACCUGGAAUGGACGACCAUAGAGGGUGAGAGUCCCGUAAGCGAAAUUUAUUUUUUUAACCGUACAGUCAUGUCGAUAUUAUUAUGUCGAGGUGAAGUAGGUCGAGACACGUGAAAUCUCGAUUGAAUACCGGUGGAUCAUCAUCGAAGACUAAAUACUUCUUCUCACCGAUAGUGAACAAGUACCGUGAGGGAAAGGUGAAAAGUACCCCUAGCCGGGGAGUGAAAUAGUACCUGAAACCGUGUGCUUACAAGGAGUCGGAGCCCCUUUAUGGGGUGACGGCGUGCCUUUUGAAGAAUGAGCCUGCGAGU
Molecule: ribosomal RNA, 815 nt
Filed under: Candidatus Berkelbacteria bacterium
Lineage: Bacteria; Candidatus Berkelbacteria
Description: partial 23S ribosomal RNA
Rfam family: Bacterial large subunit ribosomal RNA
Source: RNAcentral